This 435-nucleotide ribosomal RNA is filed under the name uncultured bacterium. RNAcentral's name for it is "partial 16S ribosomal RNA". It matches the Rfam family "Bacterial small subunit ribosomal RNA", at positions 341 to 792 of the family's 1533-position model. The record is from RNAcentral.
ACGGGAGGCAGCAGUAGGGAAUAUUGCACAAUGGGGGAAACCCUGAUGCAGCGACGCCGCGUGAGUGAUUGAAGUAUUUCGGUAUGUAAAGCUCUAUCAGCAGGGAAGAUAAUGACGGUACCUGACUAAGAAGCCCCGGCUAACUACGUGCCAGCAGCCGCGGUAAUACGUAGGGGGCAAGCGUUAUCCGGAUUUACUGGGUGUAAAGGGAGUGUAGGUGGUCUGGUAAGUCAGAUGUGAAAGCCCGCGGCUCAACUGCGGGACUGCAUUUGAAACUAUCAGACUAGAGUGCAGGAGAGGAAAGUGGAAUUCCUAGUGUAGCGGUGAAGUGCGUAGAUAUUAGGAAGAACACCAGUGGCGAAGGCGGCUUUCUGGACUGUAACUGACACUGAGGCUCGAAAGCGUGGGGAGCAAACAGGAUUAGAUACCCUGGUA